This 138-nucleotide small nucleolar RNA is filed under the name Ornithorhynchus anatinus (platypus). Lineage: Eukaryota; Metazoa; Chordata; Mammalia; Monotremata; Ornithorhynchidae. The record is from RNAcentral.
UCCCUCUCGGGAUCGCACCUGGAGAGUUUUCAGUACUCUACCAGUCUCGGCUAUGGGAAGGAGAGUCAAGCAGAGCUAUACCCAUUUCAUUCCUAGCUUGGUCAUUGGCUAGUGAGUGGAAAGUCAUCUGCUACAAGU